RNAcentral lists this ribosomal RNA (253 nucleotides) under uncultured prokaryote. RNAcentral describes it as "partial 16S ribosomal RNA". It matches the Rfam family "Bacterial small subunit ribosomal RNA", at positions 525 to 777 of the family's 1533-position model. The record is from RNAcentral.
ACAGAGGCCUCGAGCGUUAGGCGGAAUCACUGGGCUUAAAGCGUGUGUAGGUGGAGUUCUAAGUACCUUGUGAAAUCCCACGGCUCAACCGUGGAACUGCUGGGUAUACUGGUUCUCUUGAGGUACCUAGGGGCGAGCGGAACAAGUGGUGGAGCGGUGAAAUGCGUAGAUAUCUGGAGGAACACCGGUGGCGAAGGCGGCAUCCUGGACCGACACUGACGCUGAGGAGCGAAAGCCAGGGGAGCAAACGGAA